RNAcentral lists this long non-coding RNA (426 nucleotides) under Daphnia pulex (common water flea). Its description in RNAcentral is "uncharacterized LOC124205281". The record is from RNAcentral. Lineage: Eukaryota; Metazoa; Arthropoda; Branchiopoda; Diplostraca; Daphniidae.
AUGCAUCAUACUGUCAUUCAUUCCAACAAGUUGACUUAGCGCUCAGUCAAUUUCCAUCCAAUAGACCCAUAAUGCUGUCAAAACCUAAAACUCAUGUUUGAAGCUCACAUAUAGUGGAAUACAAAUCUGCCGAGUUAAGGAUCUUUUCUGAAACUCGGAAUUUUUAUGGCUUGCCCUGCAAUAGCAUGUUUGUUGUUAUGGCUGUAUUUAUUUCUGUUUAGAAGGCAACCCAGCUAAGAGAUAGAGUUUCAGUGACAUGAAGAGUGUGAAGUGAACCACCUAUCACCAUGCUACUAUAUCACUUCAUGACACUUUAUUUAGCAUCAGGAAAUGUAUUUCAACAUGAGGAGUAAGACUGUUAGUUGCUGUGAUUUCCAUUUUUACGGUUUUUUCAUCAUGAAAAUUGAAGUGUGCUUCUUAGAAAAG